RNAcentral lists this long non-coding RNA (1454 nucleotides) under Gallus gallus (chicken). RNAcentral describes it as "lncRNA (ENSGALG00010004847.1)". Lineage: Eukaryota; Metazoa; Chordata; Aves; Galliformes; Phasianidae. The record is from RNAcentral.
GCAGGGCAGGCAGGACUUGUCUUGCAGGAUGGCUUUGCAAUCUGCUGUCAUUCUUUGCUCUUCAUGGUACAGCAAGUGAAUUCUGUUUGGUUCUGAAUUAGAGGAGGGAAGCAUUAAAAAUGUUCUGAAGUGGUUUUCAAAGUGGAAAACAAAAGACUUCUAACAACAGUUUUCCACAACUGGAACUGCAGCAGACAGAGGUGGAGGUUUCUGAAUUGCACCAAGAAUGUGAUGGUGGUGAUGCCUUCCUUGAAGAGGAGCUGCAUUUCCUCUGAAUGGUUUGAGUCCUGGUGGAAGCUAGGAAGAGCCUGAGGAGGCAAGAAUGGAGAUGACCAGGACCAGUCCUUAGAUAAGCAGAAAGUUAGAAUUUUUUCCUCUAAUCCUAAUUGUUUUCUCAAGAUUGUGGCCGCUGAGGCAAGCAUGCAUCACAAAGAACACUGCUGAGAUAUCGGAGAAGGACAGCUACAAGGUCAGGGGAUUUGAUCAGAACAUCCAUCAAUCUUCUGUAUUGUGCUUUGAUAUGACUACAGUAAAUCUCUGCUUCAUAAGGCUAAGCCUUAAGCUAUCCAGAAGCUUUGUCUCAGUUGUCACACAUCCUCAGAUGACCAUCCUACCAAAUGACCUCUUUUGUGGAUGGAAGUAAGUGGACUAGAGAGCCUCUGAUAAAAGCAACAGCUGAGAAAGUGCAAUUCUAUACUAAGAAAUCAACUCUACCUCUGCGGUGGUGGUAAUCUCUGUAAAGUUUGCUCAAUGCCAACAGUGACUUAACACAGAUCUUAUGAAAAAUAAAGUGACCCAAAUUCAUAACUGUUGUGAAUGCUUCACUGCUUAAAGCAUUUUUUCAUUAAGGUUGAUUUUAACUCAAGAUCUCCAUCUUAUUCUCUGAAUCCCUGAUAAUGACGUGUUUGACUGUCUCUCUAUAAAAGUCAGAAAACAUUCAGGCUUAGAUUUCAUCCACAAUUCAACAUAAUGGUCUUAAAUAUAAGAAGUGGGAUUAAGUAAGUUAGUUUUGAGAUCUGUUGUAGGUUUAGCCUUUCUUUAGCCCUUUUUCUUUCUUCUCUUUACCUGAUUUGUUCUCUUCCUGUUUAUUGUACUCUUGAAAGAAAGAAUAGCUCUCUGUGUUUAUUGUCCCUAUCAGUUUAAUGUCAGGUCAAAUCUGUAAUUUAAAAUGUUCCUUUUUUGUACUGGCCAAAAAUAAAAAAAAUAAAAUCCAAAACACCACAUCUUAUGAUGAUAUCAUUCACUUUCACUGAACCAUCUGGAGUUCUGGAGAUGAAGCUGCAAACUGUCAACAUCUGAUGGAAAGCAAGUAGAGUUCACUAAAAGGGAAUUUUAAGCUGGAGAAUCAUCCUGUAGAAAGUUUAGUGCAGUUCAAUGCUGGAGGAAGGAAAUCAUUAUCUAUCAAAGAACCUCCUGCCCCAAAGCCAUAGCAUUAGGACAUACCUCGUGCUGUG